GGCUUAGUAAGUCAGGGGGUGAAAUCCCUCGGCUCAACCGGGGCAAUUGCUUUUGAUACUGCUAAGCUUUGAGAGCGAAAGGGGCAAGUGGAAUUCCAGGUGUACCGGUGGAAUGCGUAGAUAUCUGGGAGAACGCCGAUGGCGAAGGCAGCUUGCUGGGUCGCUUCUGACGCUCAGGCACGAAAGCUAGGGGAGCAAACAGGAUUAGAUACCCUGGUAGUCCUAGCUGUAAACGUUGGGUACUAGGUUCCGGGAUUUCUGAUGAUUUCGGGGCCGCAGUUAAUGCAUUAAGUACCCCGCCUGGGGAGUAUGGUCGCAAGGCUAAAACUCAAAGGAAUUGACGGGGGCUCACACAAGCGGUGGAGCAUGUUGUUCAAUUCGAAGCAACGCGAAGAACCUUACCUGGCCUUGACAUGCUAGAAGUACGAACCUGAAAGGGGGAGGACCGGUAUCCAGUCCGGAACUAGCACAGGUGCUGCAUGGCUGUCGUCAGCUCGUGUCGUGAGACGUUGGGUUAAGUCCCGUAACGAGCGAAACCCUUGUCGUCUGUUGCUACCAGGUAAUGCUGGGCACUCUGGCGAGACUGCCGGUGUUAAACCGGAGGAAGGUGGGGACGACGUCAAGUCAUCAUGGUCCUUACGGCCAGGGCUACAAACGUGCUACAAUGGCAGGUACAGAGAGAAGCGAUACCGCGAGGUGGAGCAAAUCUUCAAAACCUGCCCCAGUUCGGAUUGGAGGCUGCAAUUCGCCUCCAUGAAGUUGGAAUCGCUAGUAAUCGCGGAUCAGCAACGCCGCGGUGAAUACGUUCCUGAGCCUUGUACACACCGCCCGUCAAGCCACCCAAGCUGGAAGCACCCGAAGUCCGGCGCC
RNAcentral lists this ribosomal RNA (870 nucleotides) under uncultured organism. RNAcentral's name for it is "bacterial SSU rRNA". It matches the Rfam family "Bacterial small subunit ribosomal RNA", at positions 577 to 1435 of the family's 1533-position model. The record is from RNAcentral.